Molecule: ribosomal RNA, 469 nt
Filed under: Bacteroidetes bacterium oral taxon 511
Lineage: Bacteria; Pseudomonadati; Bacteroidota
Description: bacterial SSU rRNA
Rfam family: Bacterial small subunit ribosomal RNA
Source: RNAcentral
GAUGAACGCUUGCGGCAGGCUUAAUACAUGCAAGUCGAACGGUAACAGGGUCUUCGGACUGCUGACGAGUGGCGGAUGGGUGAGUAACGCGUAUGCAACCUUCCUCACACCGAGAAAAAGUCGACUGAAAAGUUGAAUAAAGUCUCGUGAUGUGCACGUUUCGCAUGAGAUGUGUAUGAUAGAAGCAAUUUGGUGUGAGAUGGGCAUGCGUAUCAUUAGCUAGUUGGUAGGGUAACGGCUUACCAAGGCGACGAUGAUUAGGGGGCCUGAGAGGGUGGUCCCCCACACUGGGACUGAGACACGGCCCAGACUCCUACGGGAGGCAGCAGUAGGGAAUAUUGGUCAAUGGGCGGAAGCCUGAACCAGCCAUGCCGCGUGAUGGAUGACGGCCUUAGGGUUGUAAACAUCUUUUCUGCUAGAGGAAUAGAGUUCACGCGUGGACAGACGACUGGAUAGCAGAAUAAGAUCG